This is a long non-coding RNA of Bactrocera neohumeralis, 3176 nucleotides long. RefSeq lists it as uncharacterized. The record is from RefSeq and is a predicted model, not a curated record. NCBI's taxonomy places the organism in Eukaryota, Metazoa, Arthropoda, Insecta, Diptera, Tephritidae. The transcript is spliced from 2 exons.
UAAACCGCGUCGAAACUGCAAAAGCUUGCACGCAACACAGUUAGUUGUGGUUGUUGUUGUUGCUGCGCAGAUGUGAAAACUUUCACUUUGACACACAACAGCGCAGUGAAAUUCCUUCCUGCCCCUCACUCGUUCUCACUCUGCUACAAAUUUCAUCAGUCCGCACUUUGUCCGGUUGCCCUGCGGCCAAAAGCGACCUUGCGAGCGAACUAACUCGGCUAUUCACAAAGUGACGAGCAAGCAACUGUCAGCCGAGAAGCAAGAAACAUCAGCCAACAGAAUUCCAGUGCAAAUACAAAAUGCGACUAAGUGACAACUGACCGAGUUUGAAAGUCGCGUUUGUUAACGGUAACAAGUUAAUUCGUGUUUUCAGAAAACUUCCUUCUUAGUGAAAUCGCCACAUUUCUAUUUGUCCUUUGUUUAAAAACAGCAAAAGAACUAUUCAACAAACCACAGCCAUCGUAGCUGAAAUGUAAAACAGCAAGAACGUUGACUCUCGUUGCACCAACGCUAUAAUACCUUUCACAAAAACAAAAUAUUCCGUCCAAGUACUAUGAUCAGCCGAUUUAUAUGGUAGCUACAUGCUACAGAGACUCGAUUCAUUUAGGGUGUGCGAAUUAUUUACUCGAAAUUAGUUGGAAGCUCUGUUGUCGCGCUUUAUGUGACUUCAAAAUCCCACAAAGUGAUGAUAGUGCCGCAGAGAGCUCUCAGAAGGGAGAAAAGCGUAGUUGCCAAAAAAUUAUGAUAAAUGUAACAUAAAUCCAGUUUAAGAACCUCAAGCAAAAUAUGUAUGCUUCAACUACAGGGAGAAGCAAAGAGAAGACACAUAGCGAAGAAAGAAGAAUGAAGGCAUUGAAAGGCUAUAAAGCCCUGCUGGCAGAUGAGAGCGCCAUAAAAUGCCAUCACUUCCGAUCAAUGUCAACGGUACAGAACGUUGACGGUGCAGAGCAUAACAAACGCUGGUGGUACGGCCAAGUGAUAAAACGUAAAAUGUUUCGAAAUUUAGGUGGCAGUAGACGUGCUUUGAAAAUAGUAUGUAAACCCUGCAACACAAAGACACACAUACACACACUAACGCUGCGUGAACACAGUACCCUUGACCCAAAGGAACAACAGCAACAAGUAAAAAAAGAAUUCAUUGCGAAUAUUUAAAUGUCCCUUACCCAAGUAUGCAGGCUGUUCUCUUUGUGCUCGGAAUGGGAGCAAGAGCGUAAGAGGAAAUGAAAGCGCACAGUUUCGCUGGUGAAGCCUCAAAGGAGUCGAUGAAUACUGCAAUAUGACGAUAGCAACUGAAGCGCAUAAAUAAUAACUUCAAAACUUACUAUUUAAUAGAUAGCUUCUUAAAACCAAUAUUCUAUAUUUAGUUAUCCUACAUCUGAAUUUAUAGCGAAAACGUUUUUCUUCAAACGCUAACAAAUUUCACAUUUGUGUGGUUUAUACAAAAGUAGCAUCACAUAUUCAAGGUGAACCAUUGCAAAAGCUGUAAUAUUUGCUAUGUAUUCACGUUUGUUGGAAAUCCCUUUAUUCCUUUACCACAGAUCAUUAUUUAUUUGAAAAAAAAAAAAACAAAAAUAACGAUACAUGUAUUCUAGUUUCGUCAUCAAAUAAUCAUUGCAACGUUUACUGAGGCCAAGUAAGAAACAAAAUAAUAUAAACAAAAUCACAUUGGAAAACUGGUAAACCACGAAGUAGUGAAACUCACCACACAUAAUCGUACGUGUAAACCUGUGGAAAAAAGGACAGAAAAACACACAAACACACAUUUUCAUUUUUCUCUUGUUUCUACCUGAAAAUACAACAAAUAAAAACACAGAAACUACAGCAAUGUAUGGUGGCAACACAACCUAACGCAACUCAUGCUAAGUGAUAAGAGACGCAACAGCAGGUGCUAAGUACACUAGCUUUAUCAGACUUUGGCAACAUGUUGCACGUGUAAUAAUGCCAAUAUGCGAAGACACUUAUAACACCAAAAUGAAAAAAAAACAAAAAAAAUGUACAUAUGUUUCUAUUAUAAAAUUCAGCAUUACUUUUCUUUUCUUUUUGUGAAAUUAUGCAAAUAGCACGGAGAUAGUACUUAAGGUACAUAAUAUAUUUUACCCAUAACCAAAAUUAUUUUAACCAAACGAUCCUGCAGUCGUCUUAGUUCAAAUACAUGAAAAUAUCCUAAACCCUCUUAUAGCAGAGAAUAAAUUAAAAUUAAAUUUGAAGGAAAAUAGAUUUUUGAUAACCCAAAAAAUAUCUCAAAUUAUACCUCAUAUAAACGUAACAAAAACAAUGACAUUAAAUAUUUCUUAAGCGACCAACCUUUGAACGUAUACGGAAGCUAAUCGCAGGCGUAAAUUUAUGCUCGCUCUUUAUUAUUGCAAAGUAAAUUGCUGUUAAUGGCAAUGAAGUGAUAAACGCUAACAAUCAUGUUGGGUCACACACACAUACAAUUAUAUAUAUAUUUACAAAAAUACAAACACAUGUCUGUCCCUUCAAAGUCCACCCCGUGCCGAAAAAAUAAUGUUAUAGGCAAAUGUUGCUUAUAUGCCCUAAUCCACCACCGAUAUAAAAAAUUAACAUAACAUUUUUAAGUGACAACUAAUAUGGCUGUUUAAAAUAAAACAUCUAAGCUUCGAUUGGCCUAUUGUGGUCAAAAUACUAUUAGUACAGGUUUUCAUAACUAACUCGAUGAAACCUUGUAAUCUAAUUCGCUUCGAAAUCAUUUACCUUUUCUCACUUUUGAAAUCACGCAGGCAGACGAAAAAGCAAACGAUUGUAGGCCAGGGUAACUCCUUAACUUAGCUAUGUCAUCCCAUUACAUACCUAAUGUCGACGUCUUGACCUCAAACGCUCAGGCACUUUGGAUGCUAAUGUGGCUGAGAUAAAGGAUAGCAACUAUACCAUAAUGGCAGCAACCUGAUUUACAUCUCAUAGCACAAAAGCAAUAAAUACUAUUUGGGUUUCGACAUCUGGCCACUGUCGCGGAUAGACAAGCUAAUAUGUGAUGCGUUAAGAUGAGAACUGUAAGGUCGGAGUCCACAUCUUUGAAAAUCUACACCAGUAUUUGAUAUUGACGAAUAAUGUGCUACAUUUUAGCGUAGCCUGGGUUGAACGGAAAUGGGAAUAGUUUUAUUAAUUGUACUUUUAAUAAAUAUCUCAAGUUUCAAUAAUAAUAUAAGCACAAUAUGUAA